ACUGAGCAAGAUGGCCACCUCCUGGUGGUAAGUCUCGCUCCUGGAGUUCCCAUCUUGACCCUACAGCGGGACAUUUUGCCGCCACCUCUUUGUGUGUUGGGAAGAUGACGUCCUUUCUGCUCGUCCUGCUUCUCUGAUUGAUCUGUGUCUCUGGAGAUCCCUUUGCUCAGCCAUCAGAUCAAGCAGGCAUCCAUGGUUCAGAAUGGUGAUGACCUGGGCAAGAGCUCACCAGUAAGGAGCAAAGGGGCCCGCCUGCCACUCUUAAGCAGAGCGCCUGCUGAAUCAGGAUUUCCAAGGCUCCGGCUGAGUGCCUGGCUGGGGGCUGUGUGUGCAGAUGCCACAAGAUGGACAAGACUGAGGACGCAGAUUUCCUACAACAGCAGACUUCUGAUGCCCAGGCCUCAGUUCUGAACUCUGGAGGCUACAACCUGGCCUGCUUAUAGACGGUGGACCAAAUGAAGGUGAAGAGGAGACGGGUGAGGAGAGGACUGGGUGGCAGGGACAUAUGAUCUGGUCAGGGAACAAGAACAAGCAAGUGGCAGCACUAAGGGUUCAACACAAGGAGGGGCUGAGAAGAUUGAGGCAUGAGCAGGGUGGCGGGCAUGGUUUGUGACUCUGCCAGAUUCAGAAGGUUAGGGAUGAGGGACUCACCCUGAGUUGUGUUUGCCCAGGAAGCCCAGACCGGCUGAGCAGGCCAAGCCCA
This 703-nucleotide long non-coding RNA is filed under the name Homo sapiens (human). RNAcentral's name for it is "HSALNT0326552". Lineage: Eukaryota; Metazoa; Chordata; Mammalia; Primates; Hominidae. The record is from RNAcentral.